GGAGGUUACUGCUAUCGGUGUUCGCCUAACCCAUGCGAGUCAUAUGUUCUUCGUGAACAUGGCGUACUGCUCAGUAACACGUGAAUAACCUGCCCUUGGGACCGGCAUAACCCCGGGAAACUGGGGAUAAUUCCGGAUACCGCAUAUAUGCUGGAAUGCUUUAUGCGUGAAAUGGAUUCGUCUGCCCAAGGAUGGGUCUGCGGCCUAUCAGGUAGUAGUGGGUGUAAUGUACCUACUACCCUACAACGGGUACGGGUUGUGAAAGCAAAAGCCCGGAAAUGGAUUCUGAAACAUGAAUCCAGGCCCUACGGGGCGCAGCAGGCGCGAAAACUUUACAAUGCGGGAAACCGUGAUAAGGGGACACCGAGUGCCACCAACAUUUGUUGGCUGUCCAGGUGUGUAAACUACACCUGUUAGCAAGGGCCGGGCAAGACCGGUGC
This 440-nucleotide ribosomal RNA is filed under the name uncultured archaeon. RNAcentral describes it as "bacterial SSU rRNA". It matches the Rfam family "Archaeal small subunit ribosomal RNA", at positions 19 to 458 of the family's 1478-position model. The record is from RNAcentral.